AACGAACGCUGGCGGCAUGCCUAACACAUGCAAGUCGAACGAGAACACCGGGUCUUGUGGCGCAUGGGUGUGGCAGGCGUGGGAAGCUGCACUUAGGUAUGGAAUACCUCUCAGACAGGGGUGAUAAUACCGGAUAAUGUCUUCGGACCAAAGAUAUAUCGCCCUUGGAUGGGCAGGCGUUGGAUUAGCUGGUUGGGAGGGUAAUAGCCUACUAAGGCGACGAUCCAUAGCUGGUCAGAGAGAAAGGGCAGCAACACUGGGACUAAGACCCGGCCCAGACUCCUACGGAAGGGAGCAAAGCCUGAUAUAGGACAAUGGGGUGAGGCCUGAUGCAGCAAGGCCGGGAAAGUUAUGUUGUCCUGAGAGAAGAAAAGCUCUUUUACCCGUGAUGAUAAUGACGGUACCGGGAGAAUAAGCUCCGGCUAACUCCGUG
RNAcentral lists this ribosomal RNA (433 nucleotides) under uncultured bacterium. RNAcentral's name for it is "partial 16S ribosomal RNA". It matches the Rfam family "Bacterial small subunit ribosomal RNA", at positions 29 to 507 of the family's 1533-position model. The record is from RNAcentral.